UACGUAGGGGGCAAGCGUUGUCCGGAAUUAUUGGGCGUAAAGCGCGCGCAGGCGGCCGUUUAAGUCUGGUGUUUAAGCCCGGGGCUCAACCCCGGUUCGCACUGGAAACUGGGCGGCUUGAGUGCAGGAGAGGAAAGCGGAAUUCCACGUGUAGCGGUGAAAUGCGUAGAUAUGUGGAGGAACACCAGUGGCGAAGGCGGCUUUCUGGCCUGUAACUGACGCUGAGGCGCGAAAGCGUGGGGAGCAAACAGG
RNAcentral lists this ribosomal RNA (252 nucleotides) under uncultured bacterium. RNAcentral describes it as "partial 16S ribosomal RNA". It matches the Rfam family "Bacterial small subunit ribosomal RNA", at positions 524 to 776 of the family's 1533-position model. The record is from RNAcentral.